Molecule: ribosomal RNA, 254 nt
Filed under: uncultured bacterium
Lineage: Bacteria
Description: partial 16S ribosomal RNA
Rfam family: Bacterial small subunit ribosomal RNA
Source: RNAcentral
UACGUAGGGUGCGAGCGUUGUCCGGAAUUAUUGGGCGUAAAGAGCUCGUAGGCGGUGUGUCGCGUCGGCCGUGAAAACCUGCAGCUUAACUGUGGGCUUGCGGUCGAUACGGGCAUCACUGGAGUGCGGCAGAGGAGACUGGAAUUCCCGGUGUAGCAGUGAAAUGCGUAGAUAUCGGGAGGAAUACCGAUGGCGAAGGCAGGUCUCUGGGCUGACACUGACGCUGAUGCGCGAAAGCCAGGGGAGCGAACGGG